Molecule: ribosomal RNA, 411 nt
Filed under: Passiflora organensis
Lineage: Eukaryota; Viridiplantae; Streptophyta; Magnoliopsida; Malpighiales; Passifloraceae
Source: RNAcentral
GUCCUCCCAACAGAACAAACCCCCCGGCGUAAAAUGCGCCAAGGAAUCUUAAAUGAAAAGAGAAGGUAACCAGCACCCUAGCGUGCCGGGAAUGGAAUUCGCAAGGGUGGCUGGUUUCCUUGUUUAAAAACUAAAUGACUCUCGGCAACGGAUAUCUUGGCUCUCGCAUCGAUGAAGAACGUAGCGAAAUGCGAUACUUGGUGUGAAUUGCAGAAUCCCGUGAACCAUCGAGUUUUUGAACGCAAGUUGCGCCCAAAGCCUUCGGGCCGAGGGCACGUCUGCCUGGGUGUCAUGUACCGUUGCCCCAUCCAACUCCCUUUGUGGGGAGAUCGGACUAGGGGUGGAAAAUGGUCUCCCGUGUGCCCCCGCUCGCGGUUGGCCAAAAUUUGAGUCGUUGGUGAUAAUGCCACG